GCUAGUGAAAGUCCGGGGCUUAACCCCGGAUCUGCGGUGGGUACGGGCAGACUAGAGUGCAGUAGGGGAGACUGGAAUUCCUGGUGUAGCGGUGGAAUGCGCAGAUAUCAGGAGGAACACCGAUGGCGAAGGCAGGUCUCUGGGCUGUAACUGACGCUGAGGAGCGAAAGCAUGGGGAGCGAACAGGAUUAGAUACCCUGGUAGUCCAUGCCGUAAACGUUGGGCACUAGGUGUGGGGACCAUUCCACGGUUUCCGCGCCGCAGCUAACGCAUUAAGUGCCCCGCCUGGGGAGUACGGCCGCAAGGCUAAAACUCAAAGGAAUUGACGGGGGCCCGCACAAGCGGCGGAGCAUGCGGAUUAAUUCGAUGCAACGCGAAGAACCUUACCAAGGCUUGACAUGUUCUCGAUCGCCGUAGAGAUACGGUUUCCCCUUUGGGGCGGGUUCACAGGUGGUGCAUGGUUGUCGUCAGCUCGUGUCGUGAGAUGUUGGGUUAAGUCCCGCAACGAGCGCAACCCUCGUUCCAUGUUGCCAGCACGUAAUGGUGGGGACUCAUGGGAGACUGCCGGGGUCAACUCGGAGGAAGGUGAGGACGACGUCAAAUCAUCAUGCCCCUUAUGUCUUGGGCUUCACGCAUGCUACAAUGGCCGGUACAAUGGGUUGCGAUACUGUGAGGUGGAGCUAAUCCCAAAAAGCCGGUCUCAG
RNAcentral lists this ribosomal RNA (704 nucleotides) under Micrococcus sp. AIR-NUS-13. Its description in RNAcentral is "bacterial SSU rRNA". It matches the Rfam family "Bacterial small subunit ribosomal RNA", at positions 590 to 1291 of the family's 1533-position model. The record is from RNAcentral. Lineage: Bacteria; Bacillati; Actinomycetota; Actinomycetes; Micrococcales; Micrococcaceae.